UGUGAGGCAUGAGCUGACACCAGGGCA
Molecule: non-coding RNA, 27 nt
Filed under: Homo sapiens (human)
Lineage: Eukaryota; Metazoa; Chordata; Mammalia; Primates; Hominidae
Source: RNAcentral